Molecule: long non-coding RNA, 745 nt
Filed under: Bemisia tabaci
Lineage: Eukaryota; Metazoa; Arthropoda; Insecta; Hemiptera; Aleyrodidae
Description: lncRNA ENSASIAIIG002410
Source: RNAcentral
AAGAACUCCAUUUCUUUUUCUAAGGUGGAUGGAUUUGCCCGCAGGGUCUUUUCAUGGAGUCCGAAACUGGAAGCGCUACGUGCCCCUGCGGGACUCAUGGCGGAGCGAGUUACGUCGACUGGAGCGGAAGUACCGGAUCGACGGGAACUCGACGGAGCCGGACGCGGUGACCCCGACGCGGAUCCUACUCAUGUUCCCGAACUUCCUGAACCUGGGCCAGAAGCCGUUCACGGUGCUCUCGGAGCUGUGCAGCAGCAGCGACGUCUGCCUCCCGUCCUUCUUCAGCUACCCCGAGUUCGCCGGGCUCAUCCCCCUCUCCGGCAACGACUCCGCCCGCCAGGCCAUCUUCACCCUCCACCUCCGGGCCCUCCACCUGGGGAGGGAGGACAGGGCCGAUGCGCUGCCCUUCCGCACCAAGUGCGCGCUCGUCAAACGGCGCAUGGAGAAAAGCCUCAUCUCCGAUGACCGCAGGUGGCGAUUCCUCCAGAACAACGACGUGAUAUCAGCCAAUGGAGACUUGACGGCGGCUAUGGCUGAAACCUACAACCAAAUCCCGAAGGAGUUCAAGGAGAGGGUGGAGUUGCCGCGUUCUUCGGCCACCAAGCAACGUUUCCAAAAGCUCUAUGCAUCCGCGUCGUCGGCGUCAUCCCCGAAUGCAAUUCGACCUGGCCCGGGGAAGAAUCACCUCGUACGCGCCGAGAUCGGCUCGCAGAAGGAAGUCGAUUCCACCAUCGAUGUCGAAUGA